AAAAGCUAAAGCAUUCUAGCAUUCCUGAAUGCAGCAACAUAUGGCUGGAUACGACUGCUGACGUCUGACGUCACGGUAAGCGUAUUGCGUCACUUCCUGUUGUAGCUUAUACACUCCAUCUAAUUUGAUAUUCAUUAAAUCUGUGUGUAGCGGUAAUAUUUGAAUCGUAACAUACACUCGCUUUCUUCAAGCACCUUCUCAGUACUUAAUUCUAAGUUAAUCUGUUAUCUCUGUCCGCUAGCCUAGCACUUAGCAUGGCUUCUCCCUCUUCCUCUCCUUCUCUUUCCUGCUCAGUGUGUCACAUGUUUAGUUACUCCUCUGCCUCCUUUAGUGAUAACGAUACCUGUAAUAAAUGCAGUCUCUUUGUAGCUUUGGAGGCGAGGCUCCGCACCAUGGAAAACACCCCGCUAGCUGUUAGCUGGUGCGGACCGCAAUAGUAUAGCUGCUAGUGUAGCUUCUGCUAGCCGUCCCCUAGCACAGUGUUUCUCAACUGGUGGGUCGCGACCCAAAAGUGGGUCGCGGGGCCGUUUUUGGUGGGUCGCGAGCCUUUUUCUAAAAAGAGAGAAAAAUAAAGAUAAUCCAAUUUAGUGGCGAGUCAUUGUAGUUCCCCUCCGCACCCGCAGGGGGUCGUCGUGUCAGCAGCGACCGGUGAGGACACUCGUAUUACUGUAGAAGAAACUGCAUGUUUUCAUAGCAACAGCAGCAUGGCUAAACGCAAGUACGACAGCGAGUACAUUAAAUAUGGAUUUUCCUACAUCGAAGACAAAGGAGUCCAAAAGCACGCAUCUGAAUAAACUUUUCGAGCGGUUUAGCGACUACUUUCCCGAUAAACAACCCGAGGACGACUGGGUGCGCGACCCGUUUGGAAUAAACAUGGAAAGCAUCACGUUGCCUAGCAGCGAUUAAUGUCAGCUGGUGGAGCUAUCAUGUGACCGCACUCUCAGAAAGAAAUUCACAGAGGUUUCCCAGAGACUAUGGGUUGAGGAGGAAUUGGAAAUUUGUCGGCUUAGACCUGGUGUCAUUCCAUCAGUGUUAAACUUCUCGGCUCAUCUUGGAAGAGUACGUGCCAGAAAGACCACGACCAAGCAGCCUUGAGAUCUUAGACAGCGUCUCCCUCAGUUCAAAGGUCCCUCUCUAUCUCCCCACACAUCAACCACUAGAACACAUCUCCAAAGUUCUGCCAGGCCAGCUCAGCUUCCCCUCAGAAGAAGUGCUGCCACCUGCCAGAUGAAGGAGCCUUUUGAGAGGCAGCUGGCAUCGUGAUUGGACUGUACUUUGGUCUGUUCCAGUCCAGCUUCAGCUCCAGAGACGGCAGGUGGGACGAGUCAACGGAGGCCGGGUGGAUGAAGGCAUGCAGCUGAGUACAAUCCAGAAAACAACAGAGGAGGAGUGCAGCAGCCCAGGGCCAGAACAAACAGAGUAGCAUCGUAUGUCUCUUAGAAAACAUCAUAGUGUAGCCUUUGGUAUGAAAAAAUGACAUCAUAUACAUCGUAUUUUGUAGAAAUAACAAGUCAAAGGAAAGAGACAUCCACUGUAGAAUUGUAGUAAUUGUUUGCUGACUGAUUUACUGAUUAUCAGUAUUUUAUUUUUUACUGAUUUACGGUAAUAAAUAAAUUUAAAAAUGGUGCUACUUUGGCUCUGAACCUUUAUCUACCUGUGGUCGCUCUGUCUUCUGGAGUGAUUUGAUUGGUUAUACGUAACGAAUAAAACUCCUUUAACUUAACAUCUAUAAACAAAACAAAAACGUAUCAACAAAGUUUUCUGUUAGACUUUGUGUUCUUCUAAGUUUAACUCCAAGAUUUUAAAUACUUUCAUUUACUGCAAAUGAAUAUCUACUCCAAAUGUCUCACUAAUAAUCAUUAUCAGCCUUAAAAACCCACAAAAUACCCCUCUAUACUGGACCACACUUAGUACAGUCCGGUUCCCCCUUCUAUAAAUCUGCUUGGAAUCGUCCACUUCCUGUUUGUCAAAGUGGCCUUCUACCUGGACAG
Long non-coding RNA from Amphiprion ocellaris (clown anemonefish), 1991 nucleotides. RefSeq lists it as uncharacterized. The transcript is spliced from 3 exons. Lineage: Eukaryota; Metazoa; Chordata; Actinopteri; Pomacentridae. The record is from RefSeq and is a predicted model, not a curated record.